AGUCUUAUAUUCAAUAAUGAUAUAAAAUUGCAAAUUUUAAGGAAUAAAAUAAUUUAUUAAGGCUU
Molecule: transfer RNA, 65 nt
Filed under: Ephestia elutella
Lineage: Eukaryota; Metazoa; Arthropoda; Insecta; Lepidoptera; Pyralidae
Description: tRNA-Cys
Source: RNAcentral